GGAUUGCAUCAAACUAAAACGUUUUUUUGGAACGAUACAGAAAAGAUUAGUAUGGCCCCUGCGCAAGGAUGACAUGAGUCGUGAAACCGUUCCAUAUUUUA
This is a small nuclear RNA of Cavia aperea (Brazilian guinea pig), 101 nucleotides long. NCBI's taxonomy places the organism in Eukaryota, Metazoa, Chordata, Mammalia, Rodentia, Caviidae. The record is from Ensembl.